GUCAGUAUGCUGGAGUUUCUUAUCGACAACAUAUUUGUUGAGUUUGGAGGUAGACUUUUUCAACAAACUGUCGGCAUUCCUAUGGGAACGAACUGCGCGCCUCUCCUUGCUGACCUCUUCUUGUUUUCAUAUGAAUCGGAGUUCCUUCAGACACUUGUCAAAAACAAGAAGAUCAAAGAAGCCAGGUUAUUUAAUUUCACUUUCAGAUAUAUUGAUGAUGUUCUUUCCAUUAACAAUCCUAACUUUUCUGAUUGGGUUCCAUUAAUAUAUCCACCAGAACUAGAAAUUAAAGAGACAACAGACACGGCUUCAUCCGCCUCAUUUUUAGACUUAUACCUCGAAUUUGACAUACACAGUCAUCUUAGUACUAGAAUCUAUGACAAACGAGACGAUUUUGAUUUUGAAAUUAUCAAUUUCCCCCACCUUAGUAGCAACAUACCAACUUCACCUG
RNAcentral lists this long non-coding RNA (451 nucleotides) under Mytilus galloprovincialis (Mediterranean mussel). The record is from RNAcentral. Lineage: Eukaryota; Metazoa; Mollusca; Bivalvia; Mytilida; Mytilidae.